This 1771-nucleotide long non-coding RNA is filed under the name Capra hircus (goat). RNAcentral's name for it is "lncRNA (ENSCHIG00010006136.1)". Lineage: Eukaryota; Metazoa; Chordata; Mammalia; Artiodactyla; Bovidae. The record is from RNAcentral.
GACACAGGCGGCCAAAGGUCAGCGCUGGGUCCCGGAAGCCUGGGUGAGCAAGUGUGAGUGAGGGCCUGGGCCGGCAGUGAGGGCAGAGCCCCGGGAGCCGCCCUGCACCCUCCACCCUGGAAGCCUGGCCCCCACCCUGCCAGUGUCCCGAAGUGCCUCCGUGGUCUGUGCUGGAGGCAGCUGGGUGGCCCUGGUCAAGAGCGGCUAGGGCAGGAGAGAGACGCAGGACAGAGUAGGACAGGUCAGAGGUCUUGGCUCCACCCCAUCCAUCGGGGACCUCUGGGCAGCAAAGGGGAGAACCAGCCGUAAGCUCCAUGACUGGCUCCUGUCCUGGGAGUUGUGCCCGCCAGACUCUGGGCCUCCAUCCUUUGCACCUCCCAGAGCCCCUGCCCCAGGGGUGUGUGCUGGGACAGGGGGCACCUGCUCCGAGCCCAGGCUGGGGACUGGACCCACGGCGCAAGGCCUGUCGGUUCCGGACAGACUGGAAACCCACUGGCCACACAGACCUCAUCCCUUCCUUGGUCGAGGGGAAGCCACUCAGUCACGGAGGCGGCCCGGGUUCUCCGCAGCGGCGCAGGAGGCGGGCCCCAGGGCGGGGCACAGGACCUGGCGCGCAGGAGGACGCGGACGGGAGGGCGCUGGCCGCAUGGCCCGCCGCGGGCAACGAAGUCACGUUUGUGAAGCGAAACCGCCCGCACGGCCGGCGGGGCCGCAUUUCCCUUGCAAAUGCCAUUCAAAGGCCGUCCGGGCGGCGCACCCUGCUCGCCGCUGCCGCUGCGUUCCUCCGCCGUGACUCCAGGGGAGGGGUCGAAAGGGGCUGCGCGGCAGCCGCCCCCUCCCCACCGAGGACGCCCUCAGGCCGCGGCGGGCUGGAGCGCCCGUGGGGGCGUCGGCCAGCCCCGCGCGGGACUCCAGGCCCGUAUCACGCCCAAGGGAGCCCCCGCCCGAGGGAAGCCCCCGUGUCCCUCGCCGCCCCCAGACCAGGGCGGGGCAGCCGGGGGCGGGGCCUGCGCGGGUUUAAAGCGGGAGGCGCCCGGCGCGGGCACCCCGGCGAGCUGAACGACUGCGAGCAAGCUGAACGCUGCGGCGCCGUCCGGGCAGGGAGCAGAAGUGGGUCCUCGCUGAGUUCUGCACGAUGAACGGCCACGCCUCUCCUCCUCUCGACCUCCUAGUCACUGGCGGCACCAGGCUGACUGCUGUAUCCAAGACCGUGAAGGCCGCGCUGGGAGCUGGCGCCCCGUCUGCACCCCAGGCCAGGAGCAUCGCUGGGGUGUGGGUGGAGGCCUCGGGCCAGGCCCAAGGUCUCUAUGCUGCCAUGAAGCAGGGUCUCCUGCCCUCUGGGCUUGGGCUGGCUCUGCUGGAGGCCCAGGCAGCCACAGGGGGCCUGGUGGACCCCACGCAGGGCCAGCUGCUCCCUGUGUCUGAGGCCCUGCAGCAGGGCCUGGUGGGCCUGGAGCUCAAGGAGAAGCUGCUGGCUGCCGAGCGUGCGGCCACUGGGUACCCUGAUCCCUAUGGGGGCGAGAAGCUGUCCCUCUUUCAGGCCAUCGGGAAGGAGGUGGUAGACAGGGCGCUGGGGUGGAACUGGUUGGAGGCCCAGCUGGCCACUGGGGGCCUGGUGGACCCCAUCUGCGGGGUGCGUGUGGCCCCCGAGCUGGCCUGCCAGCAGGGCCUCCUGGACCAGGAGACAUGGCAUGGGCUGUUGGAACUGGGGCGUGGCUCAAGCGCCCCGGGCUUCCUGGACCCUAACACACUGGAGCAGCUGCCCUACCGG